UAUCCUCCAUUAGGCAAUCAUUGUGCUCUGACUUUUGGGUUAUUUAGUGAAAAAUCGUAACCAGCAUGAGAGAUAGGAGGAACGCCUUAAAGUGUAUUUAACCUCUGUUAAGUAAGAGGUCAGGUCAGCUUUGAGUGGUGGGGACAGCACAAUCUCACAGAGAAUCGUUCAGUUGAGCCACACAUACGCUGUGUAUAUCUGGCUUUGUGGGGAUUGUGCUCUACUCUGCCUGGAACAGGAAAGAGACCAGAAGUGAACGUGUAUUUGUGUGUGAGGGAGUGGCACAGUGGAGGAGCCAGGACUUGCCGCUGGAAAGGGAGGGAGAACCAGAGAGAGAGGGAUGUAAAGGGGGAGGAGGGGCAGGUCAAGUCGCCCAGUUACACAGGCGGAGAGAGGAAAGCCCUCCCACAGGAAACCACAGCUCAACUCGGCAUGGCCUUUUAAGAUCACUGAAACUCCACCUGAUGUGGUGGAAGUUGUCGAACCAGAUCAGAACGCCUUCGAGGACCACUUUCAGGCACGGGCUGAGAAGGAUGUGGAGGUUUUUGACCAGGUGAGACUAAAUAUCAACAAGGCGCAGGAGAAACAGGACAGCUACUGGAGGAGAAUCAAUAAGGGGACCAAGUUCUACGACAUCUGGGUGGAUUACUUGAUUUGAAAGAAGGACGAAAGGAAGGCGAGACCUGGGAAACCUCGCUGCUCUUUUCGCUCUUAGCUGGGGUCACCAUACAUUAAGGGUACCUUGGUGGAAGCCAACAAUCUUCUCUAGUUGGAGCAGUUGGACGGUCGACCACUGAAAGCCCCGACGCCCUACACUCUGGAGAAGCACAUGAGACAUAGUAUGUUAAGCUUUGCUUGACAUUUGAGAAAGCAAAACAUGGAAGUUAUGCUGAGCUUAUAAAAAUGUACCUCUUCAAUUUACCUCUCCAAAUGACUUAAAGACCAUCGACUGUCCGAGCCACCCAGGAGGUAUCCCAUCCACCAGAGCCAGUGAAUUUGGAUCAGUCUGAUUCUAUGUGCUCUAAGCCGAAGGGGACGAGCUUAAAGUAGGCUAUACCUUCAAGAACUGUUGAAAUGCAUCUCCCAUGUAUAACACUGCACUUAUCCAUAAAAUGUUCUCACCGGUCGCUUGUGUUGGACUGCAGGAACAGGGGCAGAACCUAGGGGAUCUGUCUAGCACCCAGAUGUGGAUCCACCUGAUGUCCUCCAUCCACCCUCCAACUUUUCAUUACAUCAUCUACAGCUACUGUUACUGUCAUGUUGGCAUUAUCUGCUAAGAAAGUUUUCAUGCUCUACUGGGCACAUAAUAUGUGAGAUACACAAAUUAAAAACAUUAGCACUGCAAACACUCAGAACAAAGAGAGCAGCAGUGCCUGGACUUUGCAGUGUCCCUCUUCGAGUCCCCCUUCUGAGACUGGCUGCCUGUUGUGAACAAGUCACAGGCAGAACCACGCACCCACCUCCUCUCUAUUCCACACACCAGAAUUCAGUAUUUCAGUCUAUAAUUGCCAUGUGUGUACAAAAAUCUGUGAAAAUAAAUUAA
This is a non-coding RNA of Salmo salar (Atlantic salmon), 1543 nucleotides long. The record is from RefSeq and is a predicted model, not a curated record. NCBI's taxonomy places the organism in Eukaryota, Metazoa, Chordata, Actinopteri, Salmoniformes, Salmonidae.